UAUGUAUAUAUAUAUAUACACGUGUGUUUAGGGUCGUGGAAGGGUCAUUAAACCUGUAUGCAGCCCUGUCCUUUAGAUACUGCUGGUGUUGUUUAAUGGUCUGGCAAGGGCCAAUAAAGCAGACCACCACUGUGUCUUCUUGACAUAACUAUCAAAAGAGAAAGAGCCUGAAAAGAUACCACAAGGCAUCUUACCCAAUUUUCCAACAUUUCUGCCAAUCCACUGCCCUGGACUGCUAUCCUAAUUCGUGAUCUUAAAACAAUCCUCAGCAGGAGUUGAUUUCAGAUUGUAGUUGGAACAAAUCCUCCAAGGCCUUCCAUCCGAUGCUCAACUGGUCAGAUCAAUUUACUGACUUAUAUAUAUUGCAAGUGUAAGAUAAACUGACAGGGCAUGCUUUUCAUUUUCUCAAUCACACUCUUCUCCCAUUUGUUAUGCAUCAUUACACCCUUUCGCUGUUCUUUAUUCUCCCAGACUGUCUUCUUCUCUCAUUGUUUAUCACUUGUUGUGUUUGCAUUAUUAUAACCUCGGAAAUAGACAAAUGUCUUCUGUAAUGGUCAAAAUAAAUUUUCAGGUGAUUAGUCUAGAGUAACACAUGGAUGUAAAUAGAAAAGUUACCUGUAUAUUUUUCUUAUCAACUGAUAUAGUAUGAAUUUUUACGUUUUUAUUUAAAAAAUAUGUGGAGUAUCCUGAAUGCUUUGGAAGGAGUUUUAGGAAAACUUAAUUAACUAACAAAACUGAAGAAAUAAUGUAAGAAGAGAGGAUAAAAUGGAGUUUUUAAUAUAUAAUUAUUCUGAUUUUUGUUGUUAAUUUAAUUAAUAUAGAUUGAUUGAUCCAGAGUAUAAUUAUUACCUGUAACAUCUGCUGAAUAAAAAAAGAAAUAGCACAGAUUUACUCUUAUUGUGCAAAAUAUCAAUAAAGUUUAUUUUGUAUCAGUUGGUGAUAUAAAAUAUAAAAAUUAUAUGACUUAGUAAAAUCAUAUGUAUAUUAAAUUUUACAUGUUAUAGUAUGUGUAUAUGUGUUUGUGUGUGCACAUAUAUAUAUAUAUAUAUAUAUAUGAAUGAUAUAUUCUAUAUAGGUGAUUAUAUGUAUUAUUCUAACCCUCUAACCCAUGCUAACAUGUAGACUAGGUAUUGAAUAAUGCUGAUGAUUAUAUGUGUGUGAACAGAACAGACACUUGAUAAAUUCUAUAAGUUAUUGGCUUUUGAACAGUAUUGACUUUUUUGGGGUCCCAAAUUGGUCUUCUUUAUUUUUCCUUUAAUUUUUUUUAUUUUAUGUAGGAUUGAGUCCAUUAUUAUAAAUAUUGUUACUGAUUUGCAAGACUCUUUUGUUUCAUUAUUUCAACUUUAUAUCAGUAUUUUUUUAAAUUUAAAAUAUUGCUGCCACAUAUGAUGUCGCAUGUGUAAGUCAGUGAACCUUCAUUUGACUUUCUGAAGUUUAAUAUAAUUUAUGAAAUGAACUUCCUACACUCUACAUAUGUCUUUGUUAGCUCACAUUUGUCAAAGAACAUUUUCUCAAAAACAUAUAGGUGACGUCCAUCUCACAGGACUAUUAAGGUAGAAAUCUGUUCUUGGUCUCAAGCAAUUUAGAUGAACUUACAUAAUGAGAGUUAUUUAGAAAGAACUUUCUGCUGUGACAGCAUUUACACCAUAUAAGUUGGUGGUUUCCAGGUUAAUUAUUCUUGUCAUGAAAUGUUUGGAAAUUUUUAGUAAAUAAUGAAAAAAUAAGUUCUAUAUUUUUAAUAAUGAAACACAAGAAAAUAUUUGGACCCAGAAAAGUCAGCAGUUCCAACCAAUGCAUUUAAUACUAAUGGGCAUAGGGCUAUGCACAAAAUUAGGAAAGUAAUAUAUAUGUGUGUGUGUAUACAUAUAUGUACAUAAGUGUGUGUGUAUGUAUAUAUAUUGAAAGUAUUAGUAUUGUUUCACUUUCUGAAAAUGUUCAGUUGCUGGUAUUUUGGCAUUUUUAAAAAUGAAAAUGUAAAGUGUUACAAAUUCAUAUAUAUUUAUAUUUAUAUACAUGAAGAUAAUUAGAAUUGAAAACACUGUGACUAAGUAAAAGUUUACUCACAUUUUUUUUACAUCUUUCCUCAAUUCAUUGCCUCUUUUCUUUAUUCUCCCACACUGUUUUUUUCUCUCAGUUUCUCCUUUUCCUCUUUUAACCUAGCCUCACUCACUCCUUGCAGUAGAGGAGGAGGAGGAGAAUGUAAAGAAAGGAAAGGAUGUGUAGCUAAUUUCUUUUUUAGUUUGUAGUAAAAAAGAAAGUGACAAAUAUGUAAGAUCCAACAUACCAACUUACAUGUAAACUCCCUUGAUCUUCAUCAGUGAUCUAGUAAUACAUUAAGAGGUUAUGGGACUCUUGUUUUAUGCAUAUACAUUUGUAUCCAUGUUUGUAAACAUUUGUUUUGCAAUUAGUCUUUUAACAGAUGUAUAUAUGAGUCUAUAUAUGUGGCAUGUGUAUUGGUCUGUAUUUGGAUUUAUGUAUUCCGUGUAAUCUGUUGACCUCACACAUUGUUAGAUUUUUCUUACUUUCUCUCUCCCCAAUUCUCUUAACCCCCCCCCCCCCCAAUCCAUCCUCUCAGACUCUUCUUUUUUCAUUGUCCCCUACUCAUUCGUCACCUUCACGGCUGUACAUUAUAGACAUUGUCUUUUCGUUUCCGGUGACACACACACACACAUUUAUCUAGAGAUUAUUGUUAGUCUCUCUCUCUCUGAAGACUGGCUCUUUGGAUUCUCUUGUUUUGUAGUCGAGUCUCAUAGAGUUAAGACAAAACUGUUUUUAUUAUAUUUAAAACCAGAAUAUGAAAAAGUCACCAUAAACAAGAGAUGUCAACCAUCUCAGCUGGCCCCUGGAUAUACACAAGCUUAACACUUUCGUUACCAUAUUUCUGUUGAGAUGUUCUGUGUUUCUUUGAAUUACUUUAAAUAUAACAAAGAAUUUAGUAAAAUAACUUCGUGAUCAUUCAGCUAGUGUUAGGAACAUAAAUUGUGACUAAGGUUUGGUGGAAGAUUUUAAUUCAAAACUUAUGAAAACAAGACAUUUGUACUCAGAGCCAGAGCCGUUUUCAGCCGGGUUAAAUGCAUCUUUCUAUAAUCAUAUAGAAAUAGACACACAUGCAUUACCAAUAGAUUUUAACGUUUGUCUAUCUCUGUCCUUCUUUCUCUCUUUAUGUGUGUCUGAGUGUGUGUAAAUAUAUAUAUAUAUAUAUAUAUAUAUAUUGUGUAUUGUUAUCUUUGUUGACAGACUUCUGAUCUGUUCCAGUGAGUUAGCUCCUUAUCAAAGGAUGAAAACAGAUCAUAGAUCUUCCACCAACAAAGAUAGUAAUAAAUUGCAUUGACUCAAUUAACUAGUAUUGAGUCCUUUUACUCAUUUUAUUGUCUCUAUUAUUCUAACAACCAAUCAUAUCUUAACACACACACACACACACACACACACACACACACAUUCAGAUUGUGUAUAUUGUUAUAAACUGUGAAUCUCCACACUCCUCAACCUACAAAUGUUAAUGUAGGUUUAGUUUGAAAGGCUUUUUUUUGAACUCUAGUACUGCUGGUUCAAUCCUUACUGGCAGCAGCUGCUGUUACUGAUUUCAUCUCUCUGGUGUCUGUUAGUGAGAUGAAGCUGAGUUGUUGUAGAAACUUUCCCCUGAGUUAGUCCAUCACCCUGGCUAAACAAAAGCACAAGCAAACAGUUGGUAUCCCAUCACGGGACUGGCUUGUAAUGAUAUAACUAUAUAAACUGUUGUUUUUAGUCCUGCCUCAUCACGGAUCUUCAUUGUAAAUGGAAUUAAUUUUUUUUUUUAAAGAUUUUUCUUAGCACUGCUGUGUUGUCUGAAGACUGAAUAUUUGGAUUCACUCAGUGUCAUUUAUCCUGGCAAUAACAUCUGUUAAUUCUUUCUCCAUUUCCUUCCUUUCUUGAUGAGGUCUUCUCUUAACGACAGGUAGACCUCAAGGGAGGCAGAGGUAAGAAUAUGUAAAAUAAUUUUUUUUUUUUAAAUUUAAUGUCGGAAUCUGUAAAAGUCUGAGGUGAAUAAAUAAAAGAGUGAGAAAAAAUAAUCAACAGAACAUCAUCGUUAAAGAGAAUGAAUUUUAACAAAAAUCAAACUGGAAAAAAAAACCAAAAAAAACCUUAAAUAAAUGACGAAUAAAAUAAAAUAAAAAAUAAUUAAGAACUAAAUCUAUAAACAUUGGAAGUGAAUGUAAAGAGGAACCGAAAACUGUUUGAUGUAAAACUUGUAUUGAUCCUCAACUGAUUGUUGCAAAUAAAUCUCUUGUUCCGCUCUUUGGUUUCAUUGUUACAGCUGGUCGUGUUUGCUGUCAAAC
This 4316-nucleotide long non-coding RNA is filed under the name Octopus vulgaris (common octopus). The record is from RNAcentral. Lineage: Eukaryota; Metazoa; Mollusca; Cephalopoda; Octopoda; Octopodidae.